UACGGAGGGUGCAAGCGUUCAUCGGAAUUACUGGGCGUAAAGCGCACGCAGGCGGUCUGUUAAGUCAGAUGUGAAAUCCCCGGGCUCAACCUGGGAACUGCAUUUGAAACUGGCAGGCUUGAGUCUCGUAGAGGGGGGUAGAAUUCCAGGUGUAGCGGUGAAAUGCGUAGAGAUCUGGAGGAAUACCGGUGGCGAAGGCGGCCCCCUGGACGAAGACUGACGCUCAGGUGCGAAAGCGUGGGGAGCAAACAGG
Molecule: ribosomal RNA, 253 nt
Filed under: uncultured bacterium
Lineage: Bacteria
Description: partial 16S ribosomal RNA
Rfam family: Bacterial small subunit ribosomal RNA
Source: RNAcentral